UGCUACUGGUUCCCAGAUAUAUUGACCCCAAAUUAAAUAUGCUUAUAAUCACUUGGCAUAAACAUGACUGUAAGAAAUACAGAAGUGUGUAUACCAAGUCUUGUGGUAAAACUUUGUUCUAAGAUGAUGAUCUAGAUAAAUUAGAAUAAACGUUUAAAAAAACCCUUUUACUUUCAGAAAAGUAUUAGACUUACAGAAAAAUUGUGAAGACAAUUCAGAGGGUUCUCAUACAACCCACAUCCAGUUUCCCCUUAUUAACAUUUACAUAAGUGUGGUACAUUUGUCACAAUUAAUGAACCAAUACUGAUAUCAUUAUUAACUAAAGUCCAAACUUAUUUAGAUUGUCUUAGUUUUAUCUAAUGUUGUUUUUCUGUUCUAGGAUCCCAUCCAAGAUACCACAUUGCAUUUCAUUGUCUUGUCUCCCUAGGUUUCUUUUGGCUGUGGCAGUUUUCAAACACUGUCUUUGAUGACCUGGACAUUUUUGAGGAGUCAUGUCGCAUGCCCCUCUGUUGGAAUUUAUCUGAUGUUUUUCUCAUGAUUAAACUGGGAUUAUAAAUUUUGCAGAGGAAGAUAAGCAUUCACAACCAAAACAGGGCUUUUUGAUGACUACAAUCAACUGCCUUCAUGCUUGAGUCUAAGCUUCCUAAAUCAGAAAGCGCCAGAAAUUACACUUUGAACCUCCAAAUAGUCAACCAACAUGAGGAAUUGAGCAGGAGAAGCAAGAAGUGUUUACAGUGAAACAGUCUUCAAAGCGAGGAAUUUGCUCCUGUCUGCAGAAAUUAUGAAAUUAUUUUUUGAGAGGGAUCCCUUACCUUUAACUUGUG
RNAcentral lists this long non-coding RNA (824 nucleotides) under Homo sapiens (human). RNAcentral describes it as "HSALNT0336342". Lineage: Eukaryota; Metazoa; Chordata; Mammalia; Primates; Hominidae. The record is from RNAcentral.